UACGUAGGGAGCGAGCGUUAUCCGGAAUGAUUGGGCGUAAAGGGCGCGUAGGCGGCUUGGUAAGUCUGGAGUGAAAGUCCUGUUUUUAAGAUGGGAAUUGCUUUGGAUACUGCUGAGCUUGAGUGCAGGAGAGGUAAGUGGAAUUCCCAGUGUAGCGGUGAAAUGCGUAGAGAUUGGGAGGAACACCAGUGGCGAAGGCGACUUACUGGACUGUGACUGACGCUGAGGCGCGAAAGUGUGGGGAGCAAAC
This 250-nucleotide ribosomal RNA is filed under the name uncultured prokaryote. RNAcentral describes it as "partial 16S ribosomal RNA". It matches the Rfam family "Bacterial small subunit ribosomal RNA", at positions 524 to 773 of the family's 1533-position model. The record is from RNAcentral.